RNAcentral lists this long non-coding RNA (1183 nucleotides) under Homo sapiens (human). Its description in RNAcentral is "HSALNT0068702". Lineage: Eukaryota; Metazoa; Chordata; Mammalia; Primates; Hominidae. The record is from RNAcentral.
AAAAAAUGCCUUCUCCGAGGCCUCUUAACAGCCCCAACGGGACCUGUGAGUUACCUGCACCAGAAACUUCACUUCCCCACUGUUUCUCUCUUCCAGAAAACAAAGUUCAUCACAGCUCAAGGGAACACAUGGAUGUUUUCUAAUUCCUUGAAUUAUAUGGUUUUCAGGUAUGAAGGAGGUGGACGUUCUGUACAGUGGAGCCACAGCCCUCCCCACCCCCUGGGUUUCUCUGACCCUGAGACCUGAUGCACAGAGAGGUUAAGACUCACACAGCCCAUGAGCGGCGGAAGUCCCGGCACUCUGUCCUUCAAUCUGCUCAUCGCAGUCACUUCCUCCUGACCGUGGACUCUUCUUCCCAGCCUUUUCCUUCAAGCUGGAGGCCCGGAAGUGUGCAGAGGACAGUGAGGGGCCUCAAGUGUGGACAUCACAUGAGUACUGAAGAAGGACCCCUAGGGCUUCCGUGAAAAGAGGCCUCCAAUUGCAAAGCUGCUUUCUAUCAGACGAGGUCACGGACAGUAGUGAGGAGUGGCAGGCGGGAGGGGUGCCUGGCUGCCGGCCCACCCCACCCAGGACGAGGCAGCCCUCAGCGGAAUGGAAGACUCUGUGGCCAGUGCUCUUUGGGGCCUUGGCACCAGGUCCUCAGCAGCUGGGCCAGCCCUGCUACUCCCUCAUCCUGGAAGAGCCCCAGAGAAUAGGGGCCAUGCCCAUGCCCGCUGUGUCCCCUGCACCCCACGCAGGCUGGGGCACAGCAGCCACAGGACACAGGUGCGGGUGAUCAGGGUCUCGGAAUUGCUUGCUGAAUAAAUGGCUGCCUGGACAAAGGACUUUGUCCCUCUGGCCCCCUCACGUGGACUCUCUCUGGUAAUAAGGCCGUUGCUGAGCAGCGAUGAGAGGCUGAGGAGCAUAGACGGGCACCAGGCUGCCUAGGUUCAGAUGCCAGCUGCCCCCGCUCUUUGCUGUGUAACGUUGGGGGUACUCCCUCAGCCUCUCUGUUUCUGCUGUGUAAGUGAGGAUGGCUGUGCUCCUGCCUCCCUGCAGAACUGUUGGCAGGUGAAGCAGGCAACACUUAAGAGCUGCAGUGUGGGCCCUCAUGCAGAUUUUAAUAAAAAUAACUCCCCUUCCCCUCGGUGUCCCCUUCCUCCCUCUAAAGGCUGGUAAAGAAAGGCAGGGAGGAGCGCAUUUG